GUUUCAUUCCUUUUCAUAACUAGCAGUCCGGACUGUUAAUCUAAGGGUCCAUCUGUUAUGGAAGUUGCUCUUCAAGAGGCUGGCAAGAAAGGCCAACAGCGAGCAGCACCGACAAACACCGGAACCAAAGUCCAAGGCUUAGGUUCCCCUUCCUACCAGAAUUGCGGCGACUCUUGCGCAGGCGCAGUGGGCUAGUCAGCGCCGGACUGGUUCCGUGUUUAGAGCCGAUCCGGGUUCAGCAGCUCCAGAAUUAGGCCGGCCUCUUCUCUCCUCUAACUGUGGCUGUCGAGGCGUUGCUGAACGAAUCAGACUCUGUCCUCCACGCUUGGCUCCUGGCCACAGUGCCCGCCCCGGCCGGAAGUUGCACUGCAGCAGAGGGACAACUUCGGACGUCAGACAGCAAGGUUUUUCUUUCUUCUGUGCCUUACUUAUCCUUGCAAGGGGAUUGUGCCGUGCACCAGUUCCUACUCCUGAGCACUGAGCCUCAAAGACAAUAGCUAUAAAUCCCACUAAGCAGAACUGUUAAACUAACAUGCGUCCCUUAAUGCAUAUUUAUUUAUCUCUGAAAAAGUAGCAGGGACCAUUGAAAACAGAAAGUUUUGUGACAGUGUUUCUUCCCUUUCUGUGCUAAUCUGAAUUUUGGACUCUAGACACAGAACUCUAGAUUUUGAUUAUCUUUUUAACAUAAAUUACAAUAGUGGGCAUAUUCUUCCAUUGUAGGCGUUCCACAGUGCAACAUGGAGUCGCUUUCUAGGUUUCAGUCAUUUCACGCAGCAGGUGAGGGCCGUGGUGACAUUAGGCCUGCCUGCAAAUAGAACAGAAGGGCCUGAUGACAGGCACCAGACGGCGAGACACAGAGGAAAACGGGAGGGCAGGGAGAAUUGGGAUCUGUACAGUGAAUGCUUAAAAGUGCCAGAAAGUAGUAGAUGUAUAUUUGAGUAGUUUAACAAAAUGUUUUAAAAAUACACACCAAGCACCCAUUGUGUAUAUGUCGGGCACUGUGCUGAGCCUGGGUCAUAGGGCAGUGAAGAAAAUAUGACUCUUUGGAAGACAGGCUGUAAACAAAUGCAAAUAAAUGAAAGUGUGCCCGGUGCCGCGGAAGAUAAAUCUUGAACACUGCAGGUAUGUCCUGCACAGGCACUGCAGACUUCUCAGGGAUUGAAGUAGAAGCUGAAAAGUGAAGGUCAGGUAAGAGGUGGUUGGGAAAGAGGGCAGUGCUGGCCUAGCGCAAGAUGACGUGAGUGGGCGGAAGGAGCAAUACUGUUCCAGGAGCUAAGAAAAGUCCCCUGUGCUGGAGCAGGGAGGAGGGAAGAAUUGCGGGAGUUGAGCCUGGAGAGGUGCCCAGCCUUUCAGCCAUUCAAAGAUUUUAGAAUUGAAGGGAAAGGGGACUCGUUUUAAGAUUUUUAAGGAACGUAUUCUUACGAUCAGAUUUGUGACUUUUAAGUAUCUCGGCAGCCAUGAAGGAAACGGAUUAUUAGAGGUUUGGGUAGGAGAUAGAGGAUCAUCAAGGAGGCUUACGUUGUUACCAAGUGAAAGUCAAAAGUAGCCUGAACUAGGGUGCUGAUGUUGGGGAUGGGAUCAGGUGGGUGGAUUUGAGAGAGGGUCACAAGAUAGAAUAGACAAGAAUUUGUAGCUACUAGAAUGUCGGGAAUGAGGAAGGAGGACUCGGGGAGAUCUCCUAAAGGUGCAGCUUUAGGAAACUGAGUUUGUGGUGAGCCUGCUUGCUGAAAGUAGCAGUGAUGAAGACAGAAGAGAACGGGGUUAGGGUGGGCUGGGUAUUUAGUUUGAGGCAGCAAGUGGCUAUGUUACAGAGGGCAGUGGGAUGGGUGGACCUGGAGCGCCUAGAAGGCAGAGCGAUGAAACUCUUGGCCAAACCACAAGGCUAUCGACCCAGGGCUCUGUGAACUUCCCCUGGGGAGGAGAGAGCCUGAUAGGAGGCCCGAGCCAUGG
RNAcentral lists this long non-coding RNA (1950 nucleotides) under Fukomys damarensis (Damara mole-rat). Its description in RNAcentral is "lncRNA (ENSFDAG00000027411.1)". The record is from RNAcentral. Lineage: Eukaryota; Metazoa; Chordata; Mammalia; Rodentia; Bathyergidae.